AGGGCGACGCUGGACCUCCUUACCGACGAUAUUUGAAUGGGCAGUGGCCCACCGAUUGGCUGAUGAAAAAGUAACCAGGAGAAAAACCUUUUUUGGGUUGGUGGUCAGGGGGGUUGAGCGCACCCCCGAUUAAGGGGAGGGUGGGGGGUCAAGUCCCCUCCAGGCUUCCCAAUUCCUCCGCAUGCUGCGUUAUGCUCGCGGUCGUUUGCCCCAGCAAACUUCCCAUUACUCCGCCUUGCCUGAAAAAGAAUUGACUCGCUCUUAAUCAAAGUCUCAGAAAGACUGAAUGGGGCUAUAGAUCAUCUGGGAGAGCGCCUGCCUUGCACGAACGACGGCCUCGGUUCGAUCCCGCUUAGCUCCCCCUUCUCCUUCCUGCCUCCAUAACACUCCAGAAUAUAUUGUCGACAGUAUGCUAUUGAGGAUUUUGCUCUUUAACAAUCUGGAACCUGCUGAAAAUUGAAAUGAUGAAAAAUUUGAAGAUUAUUCACGAGUCUCUAUUAUUCGCAAAGCCCAUGAUGGAAACAUCUUCAGGAUGGAAGGUUAAUCGACUAAGCAGGCACAGUGAAUGCCUUGGCAGGUGGAUGCCUUGGCA
RNAcentral lists this unclassified non-coding RNA (592 nucleotides) under Gibbsiella quercinecans. RNAcentral's name for it is "partial may contain 16S ribosomal RNA, 16S-23S ribosomal RNA intergenic spacer, and 23S ribosomal RNA". The stretch from base 430 to 531 matches the Rfam family "Salmonella enterica Typhi npcRNA 44". Lineage: Bacteria; Pseudomonadati; Pseudomonadota; Gammaproteobacteria; Enterobacterales; Yersiniaceae. The record is from RNAcentral.